Molecule: long non-coding RNA, 1048 nt
Organism: Pelmatolapia mariae (spotted tilapia)
Lineage: Eukaryota; Metazoa; Chordata; Actinopteri; Cichliformes; Cichlidae
Exons: 5
Source: RefSeq, a predicted model, not a curated record
GCAAAAAAUUCACCUGCAAAAAUUCACCUGCAAAAAAUUCACCUGCAAAAAUUCACCUGCAAAAAUUCAACUGCAAAAAUUCACCUGCAAAAGUGAUGACCUUAAAUGACCCAAGCCAGAGCAAUCAGCACUAGAUCGAGUCGAGCGGCUCUCAGCCAAUUAAAUUACGCUGUUUGAUCACAUGACAUGUUAGCCGGCAGUGUCUUCUGAAAAGAGAGCUGUUUAGAGAGGCAGUUUUGAAUUCAGGAGCGGCAUGAUGGCAGCGGCAAACCCUGGCGGUUCUCCGGGUUCGUGGCAACCACGGAUGGGAAAAUGUGGAGGUUGCACGGCUGAUGUUUACUGUUCGUGGCACAGGAAGAGGCAGUUUCAUUUCAGGAAUGAGUGUGCACAAUCAAAGAAUAGAGCGACUGUGGAGAGACCUCUGGGUGGCCGUUACAUGCAUUUACUACGAUGUUCUUCACAACCCUGAGGAAGAAGGCCUUCUUGACAUUUCAAAUGCUGCACACCUCUUUUGCUGCCAUUACAUCUUUCUUCCUCGACUAGAGGAUAAUUUUAAUACAUUUUGCAGUGGAUGGGACAACCAUCCACUGCGAACAGAAAACACCAUGAGUCCCCCAACCAGCUGUGGGAGUUGGGUCACAGAUAUUACCCUGUUCCUGUUCCAGAAAACACACAGCUUAUCACACAUUUGAUUUCCAUGUGUGACGACUGCAAGUGUCCAGAGUGAGGACAGACUGAGGGACCCACUGCUGCACAUCAUCUGUGAGGCUUUGCACCCCUGAUGAUCCACCAGGACAAACUCAGCAGUGUGUGAGGAAGAGGAGGAGGAAGAGCCAGCAGCAGCUGACAGAUGGAGAGAAUAGACAGACUGUUCCCUGGUUGUGAAGGACUGCUAGAAAAGUUUAAAAUAACUAAUUGUCUGUCCUGAAUCAGUCUUAUUAGGUAAUGUUCAAAUAAUGUUAUCAUUCCAGUGUUUUCAGUGUGGGAGAAAGUACUCAGGGCCUUCAAGUUACACACUAUGAAAGGCAGCAACAAGUUUAAUAUUCAG